RNAcentral lists this ribosomal RNA (253 nucleotides) under uncultured bacterium. Its description in RNAcentral is "partial 16S ribosomal RNA". It matches the Rfam family "Bacterial small subunit ribosomal RNA", at positions 524 to 776 of the family's 1533-position model. The record is from RNAcentral.
UACGUAGGUGGCAAGCGUUGUCCGGAUUUACUGGGUGUAAAGGGCGUGUAGCCGGGUUGACAAGUCAGAUGUGAAAUCCUGCGGCUUAACCGCAGAACUGCAUUUGAAACUGUUGAUCUUGAGUACUGGAGAGGCAGACGGAAUUCCUAGUGUAGCGGUGAAAUGCAUAGAUAUUAGGAGGAACACCAGUGGCGAAGGCGGUCUGCUGGACAGCAACUGACGGUGAGGCGCGAAAGCGUGGGGAGCAAACAGG